UCGGAGUGGCGUUUUGUUGAC
RNAcentral lists this non-coding RNA (21 nucleotides) under Caenorhabditis elegans. The record is from RNAcentral. Lineage: Eukaryota; Metazoa; Nematoda; Chromadorea; Rhabditida; Rhabditidae.